GGGGCGUUAGCUCAGUUGGUAAGAGCGGUUGACUUUUAAUCAAUUGGUCGCAGGUUCGAAUCCUGCACGACCCACCA
Molecule: transfer RNA, 77 nt
Filed under: Escherichia coli
Lineage: Bacteria; Pseudomonadati; Pseudomonadota; Gammaproteobacteria; Enterobacterales; Enterobacteriaceae
Description: tRNA-Lys
Rfam family: tRNA
About the family: Transfer RNA (tRNA) molecules are approximately 80 nucleotides in length. Their secondary structure includes four short double-helical elements and three loops (D, anti-codon, and T loops).
Source: RNAcentral